Molecule: ribosomal RNA, 425 nt
Filed under: uncultured bacterium
Lineage: Bacteria
Description: partial 16S ribosomal RNA
Rfam family: Bacterial small subunit ribosomal RNA
Source: RNAcentral
GUAGGGAAUCUUGCGCAAUGGGCGAAAGCCUGACGCAGCCAUGCCGCGUGAAUGAUGAAGGUCUUAGGAUUGUAAAAUUCUUUCACCGGGGACGAUAAUGACGGUACCCGGAGAAGAAGCCCCGGCUAACUUCGUGCCAGCAGCCGCGGUAAUACGAAGGGGGCUAGCGUUGCUCGGAAUUACUGGGCGUAGAGGGAGCGUAGGCGGAUAGUUUAGUCAGAGGUGAAAGCCCAGGGCUCAACCUUGGAAUUGCCUUUGAUACUGGCUAUCUUGAGUAUGGAAGAGGUAUGUGGAACUCCGAGUGUAGAGGUGAAAUUCGUAGAUAUUCGGAAGAACACCAGUGGCGAAGGCGACAUACUGGUCCAUUACUGACGCUGAGGCUCGAAAGCGUGGGGAGCAAACAGGAUUAGAAACCCUUGUAGUCC